Molecule: ribosomal RNA, 501 nt
Filed under: uncultured bacterium
Lineage: Bacteria
Description: partial 16S ribosomal RNA
Rfam family: Bacterial small subunit ribosomal RNA
Source: RNAcentral
AUUGAACGCUGGCGGCAUGCCUUACACAUGCAAGUCGAACGGCAGCACGGGUGCUUGCACCUGGUGGCGAGUGGCGAACGGGUGAGUAAUACAUCGGAACGUACCUUAUCGUGGGGGAUAACGCAGCGAAAGCUGUGCUAAUACCGCAUACGCCCUGAGGGGGAAAGCGGGGGAUCGAAAGACCUCGCGCGAUUAGAGCGGCCGAUGCCUGAUUAGCUUGUUGGUGGGGUAAAAGCCCACCAAGGCGACGAUCAGUAGCUGGUCUGAGAGGACGAUCAGCCCCACUGGGACUGAGACACGGCCCAGACUCCUACGGGAGGCAGCAGUGGGGAAUUUUGGACAAUGGGGGCAACCCUGAUCCAGCAAUGCCGCGUGAGUGAAAAAGGCCUUCGGGUUGUAAAGCUCUUUUGUCAGGGAAGAAACACCGGCUCUAACGCAGUCCGGGAAUGACGGUACCUGAAGAAUAAGCACCGGCUAACUACGUGCCAGCCGCCGCGGUAA